AAAUUGAAGAGUUUGAUCAUGGCUCAGAUUGAACGCUGGCGGCAGGCCUAACACAUGCAAGUCGAACGGUAGCACAGAGAGCUUGCUCUCGGGUGACG
Molecule: ribosomal RNA, 98 nt
Filed under: Enterobacter cloacae
Lineage: Bacteria; Pseudomonadati; Pseudomonadota; Gammaproteobacteria; Enterobacterales; Enterobacteriaceae
Also listed under: 4 other names
Description: partial 16S ribosomal RNA
Rfam family: Bacterial small subunit ribosomal RNA
Source: RNAcentral